UGCCAGCAGCCGCGGUAACACGGGGGGCGCACGCGUUAUUCGGAAUUAUUGGGCGUAAAGGGCGCGUAGGCGGUCUUGUCGGUCGGAUGUGAAAGCCCGGGGCUCAACCCCGGAAGUGCAUUCGAAACUGCCUCGCUUGAGUCUUGGAGAGGGUGGUGGAAUUCCUGGUGUAGAGGUGAAAUUCGUAGAUAUCAGGAGGAACACCGGUGGCGAAGGCGACCACCUGGACAAUGACUGACGCUGAGGUGCGAAAGCGUGGGGAGCAAACAGGAUUAGAUA
RNAcentral lists this ribosomal RNA (279 nucleotides) under uncultured bacterium. Its description in RNAcentral is "partial 16S ribosomal RNA". It matches the Rfam family "Bacterial small subunit ribosomal RNA", at positions 506 to 784 of the family's 1533-position model. The record is from RNAcentral.